This 216-nucleotide ribosomal RNA is filed under the name uncultured bacterium. RNAcentral describes it as "partial 16S ribosomal RNA". It matches the Rfam family "Bacterial small subunit ribosomal RNA", at positions 29 to 248 of the family's 1533-position model. The record is from RNAcentral.
AUGAACGCUAGCGGCAGGCUUAACACAUGCAAGUCGAGGGGUAUGCUUCUUCGGAAGCAGAGACCGGCGCACGGGUGCGUAACGCGUAUGCAAUCUACCUUUUACAGAGGGAUAGCCCAGAGAAAUUUGGAUUAAUACCUCAUAGUAUUAUAGAAUGGCAUCAUUUUAUAAUUAAAGUCACAACGGUAAAAGAUGAGCAUGCGUCCCAUUAGCUAG